This 468-nucleotide ribosomal RNA is filed under the name uncultured bacterium. RNAcentral's name for it is "partial 16S ribosomal RNA". It matches the Rfam family "Bacterial small subunit ribosomal RNA", at positions 28 to 507 of the family's 1533-position model. The record is from RNAcentral.
GACGAACGCUGGCGGCGUGCUUAACACAUGCAAGUCGAACGGAAAGGCCCUGCUUUUGUGGGGUGCUCGAGUGGCGAACGGGUGAGUAACACGAGAGUAACCUGCCCUUGACUUUGGGAUAACUUCAGGAAACUGGGGCUAAUACCGGAUAGGAGCUCCUGCUGCAUGGUGGGGGUUGGAAAGUUUCGGCGGUUGGGGAUGGACUCGCGGCUUAUCAGCUUGUUGGUGGGGUAGUGGCUUACCAAGGCUUUGACGGGUAGCCGGCCUGGGAGGGUGACCGGCCACGUUGGAACUGAGAUACGGCCCGGACUCCUACGGGAGGCAGCAGUGGGGAAUAUUGCACAAUGGGCGGAAGCCUGAUGCAGCAACGCCGCGUGCGGGAUGACGGCCUUCGGGUUGUAAACCGCUUUCGCCUGUGACGAAGCGUGAGUGACGGUAAUGGGUAAAGAAGCACCGGCUAACUACGUG